AGAACGAACGCUGGCGGCAUGCCUAAUACACGCAAGUCGAACGAACACUUCGGUGUUAGUGGCGCACGGGUGCGUAACGCGUGGGAAUCUGCCCUUGGGUUCGGAAUAACAGUUGGAAACGACUGCUAAUACCGGACGAUAUCGAAAGAUCAAAGAUUUAUCGCCCAGGGAUGAGCCCGCGUAGGAUUAGCUAGUUGGUAGGGUAAAGGCCUACCAAGGCUACGAUCCGUAACUGGUCUGAGAGGAUGAUCAGUCACACUGGAACUGAGACACGGUCCAGACUCCUACGGGAGGCAGCAGUGGGGAAUAUUGGACAAUGGGCGAAAGCCUGAUCCAGCCAUGCCGCGUGUGUGAAGAAGGUCUUCGGGAUUGUAAAGCACUUUAAGUUGGGAGGAAGGGCAGUUAACCUAAUACGUUAGUGUUUUGACGUUACGACAGAAUAAGCACCGGCUAACUCUGUGCCAGCAGCCGC
This 472-nucleotide ribosomal RNA is filed under the name uncultured soil bacterium. RNAcentral's name for it is "bacterial SSU rRNA". It matches the Rfam family "Bacterial small subunit ribosomal RNA", at positions 26 to 518 of the family's 1533-position model. The record is from RNAcentral.